Molecule: long non-coding RNA, 362 nt
Organism: Siniperca chuatsi (mandarin fish)
Lineage: Eukaryota; Metazoa; Chordata; Actinopteri; Centrarchiformes; Sinipercidae
Exons: 3
Source: RefSeq, a predicted model, not a curated record
GUGUGACACCCCCCAACAUUCCUAUGCCUUUUCACUGCUGUUUAAGAACAUCAAACUACUUCCUACAAUGGAACAAAACAAUCUUGUUGCUGUCUGUAAAAUGCUUGCUGGGUUUGAUUCCGUUUGGAGACCACAACAUGGUAGACGUCAGCCCCUGAGACCCUCGAUCCAGAUAAGGACAAACUCCCACAAAAAACCCGUCAAUGGAGAAAAAAGAUGGAAGAAACCUCAGUAAGACCAACAGAGAAGGGAUGCCUCUUCCAAGACGUACAGGCAUGCAAUAGUUGUCAGGUGUACAGAAGAGACCAAAAUCAGAUUCUUCCUCACAAAAUGUGAUUUAUAAUUUUCGUUUAGUUAUUGUU